AUGGUGGAGCGAGAAAGAAGUAGGUCUGACGGCCACCUUCGGUUUGUCCUUGGUGAAACCGUGCAAGAAGGAGGACCUAGGAUUGGCGGGUGGGGAGGUGGCCGAAAUGGAGACGUACGGAGACGCGGUCGUUUCCGAAGACUCGUCCGAAUCCGCCCUUCCGUCCGGCUCCCCGGCCAGCUCCCGACUCUCCAACUCCAGGUUGGUCCCACUCAAAUCCAACGAGUCGGGCUUGCCACCGUUCUGCAUGUGCGAGUGGUUCGAACGAACAUCCUCAUCAUGCUUCUCCCUGGUAGCCGCGUUGAUCUUACUAUAGCUAGAAUUGAUGAUGAGCGGGAGUUGAAUGGGGUUCUCUCGGCCGACAGUCGGCUCCGUCCCGUUCAUAGUCACAGCCACCUCACUCGUGAAGCUCUCUUUGAGCGUGGUCUUCGGCGAGUCGGAGGAGUUCUUCGCGUUCUUCGACACCACCGAGUCUACCGGUUUAACGUCUUCGUUUUUGUACAUAGCCAGUCUAUUCUCACUAUUCUUGAGCAAAUGUUUAUCAGUCUUUUCAACGUGUGCGGAGUCGUCCGUGAUGUCCACGGCGGACAGGUGGAGGAACUUCUUGGUCCGGAUCGGCUCGUGGACCUUGGUCAGGAUGGUGCCUCUGGUGAUCUGCGUCUUCCGGUUGGUCCCUCUGUGCGCCACGGGGCUCUCUUUGAGCUCGUCCAAGCUGAUCCGCAGGUUGCUUUUGACAUGGACAUUGGUUUGACUAUCUUCGACAUUCUCGUCGAUCGUUUUGGCGAUGUCGAUCGGGUGCAAGACCACGUCCCCUGUCCCGUUCUCCUGCAUCGGAGGGGGAGUGGGAGGCGUCGGGAACUUGUCCUCCAGCAUCACCUGCAUCUUGACGACGUCCGAGGGUUUCUCCGGCUCCCGGGGACGACCUCCACGUUGGUGCAGUUCUCCUGCUCUUUCGUGGAGGUGGAAUUGAAGGGAGCCGGCGGUGGAGGCGAGAUCUCCUCGCUCGCGAUCGGCUCCAAGUAG
Molecule: long non-coding RNA, 1023 nt
Filed under: Bemisia tabaci
Lineage: Eukaryota; Metazoa; Arthropoda; Insecta; Hemiptera; Aleyrodidae
Description: lncRNA ENSSSA3NGG010017
Source: RNAcentral